AAGACAAGGAAGCAUCACAUUUAGUCUGUCUUAAAUUCCAAAACAAAUCAUCUUUUUUUACCUACCCCAUUGAUUCAUCAAGUCUUAAUAUAUCCUUUGUGAAACAACCCGGGCAGUCAUUGACUAUUGUCCCUCUUCAGACUGUUACAAAAGUCAUUCUUUUACAAUAUAAGGAUGGGUUUGUGGCAUAUCCUUUACUGCAUACUGCUUAAUUGAGCUUCAAUUAGUGUAUAUAGUUUGUAACACUAGCUAUGUUUGUUUGUUUGUUUGUUUGUUUUAUACUGUAGAUGUAUUCAAUUGUUGUUUUCACGGAAAAAAAUGAGACAGAGGUUAUACCAAGUGACUGGCUGAGCAUCGAUAAAAAAAAUUUCCUUUUGGCCCCCAUAUAAUACUACUAAAUGUAGAAAAGCGGUUGAAAAAAAAUGAAACCCCUGAUGAAGAAUGGGAAGAAUAUAUAACUGAAUGGGUGGCUGAGUAUGAUUCCUAUGAAAAAGCCCGAAGGAAGCUCGUUAAGUUCUGCAAAGGCAAUGGUUUGGAGUCGACAGACGAGGACAGUGUGCGGAAAAGAGUACCAUCAUCGAAAUAUGUUGGAUUUAGGUCUACAUCAGCCCCUCCAUCUGCAGCCUCAGGAAGACCUCCAGUUCAGGCCUCAACAAGUAGGCUCCACACAGAGACAAUGGAAAGACCAAAAAAGAAAUUCUGCAAUAAUGGAGCCAAAAGCCAGACCUUGCCAGCCAUACCACCAUUUCCAUUUCCACCAUCAACACCAGAGACAGUCCCAGAUCUAAGACAAGAUGAAAGAGAACUCCGACUCUUUCAGAUGCUAGAGGAGAUAAAAGGCCAAGUUAGACAAAAUUCUCUUCUGCUUCAGGCAAUUUUGAGAAGAGAGAGUGCCACUGAAGUCAGCAGUUUUCCAGAUUUUGAGUUUCCGUUACAAACCUUCUUCUUCUUCUUCUUC
Molecule: long non-coding RNA, 958 nt
Organism: Alosa alosa (allis shad)
Lineage: Eukaryota; Metazoa; Chordata; Actinopteri; Clupeiformes; Clupeidae
Exons: 5
Source: RefSeq, a predicted model, not a curated record